UACGGAGGGGGCAAGCGUUAUUCGGAAUCAUUGGGCGUAAAGGGCGCGUAGGCGGCUUCAUAAGUCUUGGGUGAAAGCCCUCGGCUCAACCGAGGAAUUGCCUUGGAUACUGUGAAGCUCGAGGCUGGAAGAGGGCAGUGGAAUUCCCGGUGUAGCGGUGAAAUGCGCAGAUAUCGGGAGGAACACCAAUGGCGAAGGCAGCUCGCUGGGACGUGACUGACGCUGAGACGCGAAAGCGUGGGGAGCGAACAGG
RNAcentral lists this ribosomal RNA (253 nucleotides) under uncultured bacterium. RNAcentral's name for it is "partial 16S ribosomal RNA". It matches the Rfam family "Bacterial small subunit ribosomal RNA", at positions 524 to 776 of the family's 1533-position model. The record is from RNAcentral.